Molecule: unclassified non-coding RNA, 434 nt
Filed under: uncultured Orbiliaceae
Lineage: Eukaryota; Fungi; Ascomycota; Orbiliomycetes; Orbiliales
Description: sequence contains ITS2
Rfam family: 5.8S ribosomal RNA (bases 31-184)
Source: RNAcentral
AACUUUUAGCAACGGAUCACGUGACGCUAAAACUUUUAGCAAUGGAUCACUUGGUUCCCGCAUCGAUGAAGAACGCAGCGAAACGCGAUAGUUAAUGUGAAUUGCAGAAUUCAGUGAAUCAUCGAGUCUUUGAACGCACAUUGCGCCUUUUGGUAUUCCGAGAGGCACGCCUGUCUGAGCGUCAGUAAUACCUUCGGUUUGACGAUUUAUUGUCUCGCCGGCGUUGGCGGUUUAAGGGGUUAACCCCCCUAAUUCCAUUUAAACACUGACAGCGGGGUAAGUUUAAGUAACACCUAUCGACUAGUAGAAAUAUUUAUCGUUCAUGGAAGACCUAAAACUCCCGCAAUACAAAAUAUGGGGAAACCCAAACCAAUUUUGACCUCAGAUCAGACGAGGAUACCCGCUGAACUUAAGCAUAUCAAUAAGCGGAGGCU